RNAcentral lists this ribosomal RNA (253 nucleotides) under uncultured bacterium. Its description in RNAcentral is "partial 16S ribosomal RNA". It matches the Rfam family "Bacterial small subunit ribosomal RNA", at positions 524 to 776 of the family's 1533-position model. The record is from RNAcentral.
UACAGAGGGUGCAAGCGUUGUUCGGAAUUAUUGGGCGUAAAGGGCGUGUAGGCGGUCUGCUAAGUCAUGUGUGAAAUCCCUCGGCUUAACCGAGGAACGACGCAUGAAACUGGCAAGCUAGAGUACCAAAGAGGGGGGUGGAAUUCCCGGUGUAGCGGUGAAAUGCGCAGAUAUCAGGAAGAACACCAAUGGCGAAGGCAGCUCUCUGGGACGGUACUGACGCUGAGACGCGAAAGCGUGGGGAGCGAACAGG